Molecule: long non-coding RNA, 1220 nt
Filed under: Oryza sativa (Asian cultivated rice)
Lineage: Eukaryota; Viridiplantae; Streptophyta; Magnoliopsida; Poales; Poaceae
Description: long non-coding RNA (OSAT_LNC001134)
Source: RNAcentral
UACGAUAAGUUCUUCCAGGGCAUCCCGCGAACCGGUCCUUAACUGCCAUGGGUGCGACCAGCAAAACCAUGCACCCACAGCCCACCAUUCAGUCGCAUUUUAGUUGGAUAAUUACGACCAUGAAGCAUGGCCAGAUGUUUCGAGCACGCAGCUCAACAAGAUACUAGAAAGGUCUAAAACUGUAAUUAUCCCAUCAACUGAGCUAGUGGUAAUUAAGCAUGGCUAAGCAUAUAGUUCUAGCUAAGUCACAUAAGUAACAUGAGCUAGUCGAUUUAUUACCCAAUGUUGACAAAGGAUAGAUAUCAAGUAAACAUGGCACAAGCGAGCAGAUAGGUAAACCCUGAUCCCGUGUAAUUAGCAAAACAUGCAUAUUUAUUUGCAAACAGUAAAACAUUUGUAAAUUAGGAUCAACAUGCUCAAGGGGAAUGUGUGACUUGCCUUGCUUCUUCAAACAAUCUUCCGAACUCUUUUCCUCGCGACCGCGGACUUCCGAAACGACGGAAACUACACGCUGGCACGCAAAACGAGGAAAAACUCUAAUAAAAACCAAGGAAACAGUACAUAAAAAGUAAACAAACAUGUAGAGCUCAAUUUUAGAUGAAUUUUGCAAGUUGAAUGGCUCAAUUCGGAGUUCGAAUGAAUUAGAUAUGAAUUUUAGAAGUUUUGAGCCAUUUAAAUAAAUUUCUAGAAUUAAACUCGAUUUAUUGCGCAAUUAUUAAUUAUUUUUACAAAGGAAAAGGAUCUCGCCGACGUCAGCAAGGGGCGGCCGGCGCCGACACGUGGGCCCCACACGUCAGCGGCACUAAGAAAGGGAGAGGGGGCGGCUGGCAGGCGGGCCCCACCGGCAGCGGCUCAAGGGCGCCGGUCCACCGUGGACCGAGACCACCGAGGCGGUCCACCGUCAGUCCACGGGAACCGACGGCCCGGAUCGGCCCAAAGCCGAUCGGACGGCCACGAGGCGGCGCGGCUGGGGCACGGGCACGGCAUGAAGCCGGCUCGGCCGAGACAUGGCGCGGCGGCGGCAAGGGGGAGGCGGCAAGGGGGAGGCAAGGGGCUGCAGCAGCCGGCGACGUGGAACGGCGGCGGGCGGCCGGAGGACAGCGGCGCGCACGGGGACGGCGACGCACCCCAAGAGGCGGCGGUCGGCAAGAAAGGGGGACGGGAAAAAAAGGAAGGGAGGAGAGAUCCUCACCGGAAGCGGCGGCCGACGCGGAGGAAGA